CCUGAGAGGGGUGACGGCCACACUGGGACUGAGACACGGCCCAGACUCCUACGGGAGGCAGCAGUGGGGAAUAUUGCACAAUGGGCGAAAGCCUGAUGCAGCAACGCCGCGUGAGGGAUGACGGCCUUCGGGUUGUAAACCUCUUUUAGUAGGGAAGAAGCGAAAGUGACGGUACCUGCAGAAAAAGCACCGGCUAACUACGUGCCAGCAGCCGCGGUAAUACGUAGGGUGCAAGCGUUGUCCGGAAUUAUUGGGCGUAAAGAGCUCGUAGGCGGUUUGUCGCGUCUGCUGUGAAAUCUGGGGGCUCAACCCCCAGCCUGCAGUGGGUACGGGCAGACUAGAGUGCGGUAGGGGAGAUUGGAAUUCCUGGUGUAGCGGUGGAAUGCGCAGAUAUCAGGAGGAACACCGAUGGCGAAGGCAGAUCUCUGGGCCGUAACUGACGCUGAGGAGCGAAAGCAUGGGGAGCGAACAGGAUUAGAUACCCUGGUAGUCCAUGCCGUAAACGUUGGGAACUAGAUGUGGGGGCCAUUCCACGGUCUCCGUGUCGCAGCUAACGCAUUAAGUUCCCCGCCUGGGGAGUACGGCCGCAAGGCUAAAACUCAAAGGAAUUGACGGGGGCCCGCACAAGCGGCGGAGCAUGCGGAUUAAUUCGAUGCAACGCGAAGAACCUUACCAAGGCUUGACAUAUACCGGAAACGUCCAGAGAUGGUCGCCCCGCAAGGUCGGUAUACAGGUGGUGCAUGGUUGUCGUCAGCUCGUGUCGUGAGAUGUUGGGUUAAGUCCCGCAACGAGCGCAACCCUCGUUCUAUGUUGCCAGCACGUUAUGGUGGGAACUCAUAGGAGACUGCCGGGGUCAACUCGGAGGAAGGUGGGGAUGACGUCAAAUCAUCAUGCCCCUUAUGUCUUGGGCUUCACGCAUGCUACAAUGGCCGGUACAAAGGGCUGCGAUACCGUAAGGUGGAGCGAAUCCCAAAAAGCCGGUCUCAGUUCGGAUUGAGGUCUGCAACUCGACCUCAUGAAGUCGGAGUCGCUAGUAAUCGCAGAUCAGC
This 1049-nucleotide ribosomal RNA is filed under the name bacterium. RNAcentral's name for it is "bacterial SSU rRNA". It matches the Rfam family "Bacterial small subunit ribosomal RNA", at positions 291 to 1353 of the family's 1533-position model. The record is from RNAcentral.